GAUGAACGCUGGCGGCGUGCCUAAUACAUGCAAGUCGAGCGAACGGACGAGAAGCUUGCUUCUCUGAUGUUAGCGGCGGACGGGUGAGUAACACGUGGAUAACCUACCUAUAAGACUGGGAUAACUUCGGGAAGCCGGAGCUAAUACCGGAUAAUAUUUUGAACCGCAUGGUUCAAAAGUGAAAGACGGUCUUGCUGUCACUUGUAGAUGGAUCCGCGCUGCAUUAGCUAGUUGGUAAGGUAACGGCUUACCAAGGCAACGAUGCAUAGCCGACCUGAGAGGGUGAUCGGCCACACUGGAACUGAGACACGGUCCAGACUCCUACGGGAGGCAGCAGUAGGGAAUCUUCCGCAAUGGGCGAAAGCCUGACGGAGCAACGCCGCGUGAGUGAUGAAGGUCUUCGGAUCGUAAAACUCUGUUAUUAGGGAAGAACAUAUGUGUAAGUAACUGUGCUCAUCUUGACGGUACCUAAUCAGAAAGCCACGGCUAACUACGUG
RNAcentral lists this ribosomal RNA (497 nucleotides) under uncultured bacterium. RNAcentral's name for it is "partial 16S ribosomal RNA". It matches the Rfam family "Bacterial small subunit ribosomal RNA", at positions 28 to 507 of the family's 1533-position model. The record is from RNAcentral.